This 406-nucleotide ribosomal RNA is filed under the name uncultured bacterium. RNAcentral describes it as "partial 16S ribosomal RNA". It matches the Rfam family "Bacterial small subunit ribosomal RNA", at positions 30 to 526 of the family's 1533-position model. The record is from RNAcentral.
AUUGAACGCUGGCGGCAGGCCUAACACAUGCAAGUCGAACGAGUGGCGGACGGGUGAGUAAUGUCUGGGAAACUGCCUGAUAGAGGGGGAUAACUACUGGAAACGGUGGCUAAUACCGCAUACUAUCGGAUGUACCCAUAUGGGAUUAGCUAGUAGGUGGGGUAACGGCGCACCAAGGCGACGAUCCCUAGCUGGUCUGAGAGGAUGAUCAGCCACACUGGAACUGAGACACGGACCAGACUCCUACGGGAGGCAGCAGUGGGGAAUAUUGGACAAUGGGCGCAAGCCUGAUGCAGCCAUGCCGCGUGUAUGAAGAAGGCCUUCGGGUUGUAAAGUACUUUCAGCGGGGAGGCGUUACCCGCAGAAGAAGCACCGGCUAACUCCGUGCCAGCAGCCGCGGUAAUAC